This 495-nucleotide ribosomal RNA is filed under the name uncultured bacterium. RNAcentral's name for it is "bacterial SSU rRNA". It matches the Rfam family "Bacterial small subunit ribosomal RNA", at positions 11 to 525 of the family's 1533-position model. The record is from RNAcentral.
GUUUGAUCCUGGCUCAGGAUAAACGCUGGCGGCGUGCCUAAUGCAUGCAAGUCGCACGGGGUGUUCCUUCGGGGGCAUCGAGUGGCGAACGGGUGAGGAACGCGUGGACAACCUACCCCGGCGUGGGGGAUACCCGCCAGAAAUGGCGGCUAAUACCGCGUACGGUUGCCGGACGGCGGGUUCGGCAAAGAAAGCAGCGAUGCGCGCUGGGAGGGGUCUGCGGCCGAUUAGCUGGUUGGCGGGGUAGUGGCCCACCAAGGCGAUGAUCGGUAGCUGGUCUGAGAGGAUGAUCAGCCACACGGGGACUGAGGCACGGCCCCGACUCCUACGGGAGGCAGCAGCAAGGAAUUUUCCGCAAUGGGGGCAACCCUGACGGAGCAACGCCGCGUGACGGAUGACGCCUCUUGGGGUGUAAACGUCUUUUGCCGGGGAAGAGAACGGACGGUACCCGGCGAAUCAGGACCGGCUAACUACGUGCCAGCAGCCGCGGUAAUA